RNAcentral lists this ribosomal RNA (549 nucleotides) under uncultured Glomeromycotina. RNAcentral's name for it is "SSU rRNA". It matches the Rfam family "Eukaryotic small subunit ribosomal RNA", at positions 548 to 1098 of the family's 1831-position model. The record is from RNAcentral. Lineage: Eukaryota; Fungi; Glomeromycota.
UUGGAGGGCAAGUCUGGUGCCAGCAGCCGCGGUAAUUCCAGCUCCAAUAGCGUAUAUUAAAGUUGUUGCAGUUAAAAAGCUCGUAGUUGAAUUUCGGGAUCAGUACGCUGGUCGUGCCUUUGGUAUGCACUGGUGUCACUGGUUUCUCCCUUCUGAAGAUCCGUGAUGUCAUUAAUUUGGUGUCGCGGGGAAUCAGGACUGUUACUUUGAAAAAAUUAGAGUGUUUAAAGCAGGCUCACGCUUGAAUACAUUAGCAUGGAAUAAUGAAAUAGGACGUUUGAUCCUAUUUUGUUGGUUUCUAGGAUCGACGUAAUGAUUAAUAGGGAUAGUUGGGGGCAUUAGUAUUCAAUUGUCAGAGGUGAAAUUCUUGGAUUUAUUGAAGACUAACUACUGCGAAAGCAUUUGCCAAGGAUGUUUUCAUUAAUCAAGAACGAAAGUUAGGGGAUCGAAGACGAUCAGAUACCGUCGUAGUCUUAACCAUAAACUAUGCCGACUAGGGAUCGGAUGAUGUUAAUUUUAUAAUGACUCAUUCGGCGCCUUACGGGAAAC